GACCUCAUGGCUCAGCUGGUUAGAGCUUUUAUUGUCCUAAAGCCUUCAUCUUGUUGGUGUGGGUUCAAAUCCCACCGAGGCCG
RNAcentral lists this transfer RNA (83 nucleotides) under Schistocephalus solidus. It matches the Rfam family "tRNA". From Rfam's summary of the family: Transfer RNA (tRNA) molecules are approximately 80 nucleotides in length. Their secondary structure includes four short double-helical elements and three loops (D, anti-codon, and T loops). The record is from Rfam by way of RNAcentral. Lineage: Eukaryota; Metazoa; Platyhelminthes; Cestoda; Diphyllobothriidea; Diphyllobothriidae.